Long non-coding RNA from Marmota flaviventris (yellow-bellied marmot), 468 nucleotides. RefSeq lists it as uncharacterized. The record is from RefSeq and is a predicted model, not a curated record. NCBI's taxonomy places the organism in Eukaryota, Metazoa, Chordata, Mammalia, Rodentia, Sciuridae.
CGCUGGGCGGCGGCCUCCUGCACUCCGUGAAGUUGAAUGAGCGUAACAAUCAAAGUGGCCGCCGCCGCGGCUCCUCAGCAGCCCGGAGGCUCAGCGCCUAGACGAGUUCGGGGCAGAAUGAGGCCCGAGGUGGGAGGAGAACGGCGGGCCGAGGAUCGGGUCCUCCUCGCUCGAUUCGCCUCCUCCUGGGAUUGUGGUAGCCGGGUCCAAGGGAAGAGGACGGAGCGUUGGGACUGACCAUUUGGAGGAAGGUUGCCCGGGGAUCCUGACCUCUGGACUGGAGAUGGCACAGGAGCAGUUGAGUAUAAUCACCAUUGAAAAAUGGACUGAAGAAAAACUUAAGGAAAAAGAAAAAGAUGGGCUGAACAUGGAAGAAGUUCACCUGUCAAGCAAAAUUAUCUGCUUCUACUUUUUUGCACAAUGAUAAAUAAGAUUUCCCGUACUAAUAAAAAAUACAUAAAUGUUGAA